Non-coding RNA from Danio rerio (zebrafish), 105 nucleotides. The record is from Rfam. NCBI's taxonomy places the organism in Eukaryota, Metazoa, Chordata, Actinopteri, Cypriniformes, Danionidae.
GCUGGCAGCUUGCUCUCACAUGGUCGCCCACUGAAGCUAAGCAGGGAUGCGCCUGGUCAGUACCUGGAUGGGAGACCACAUGGGAAAGCUAGGUUGCUGCCGGAA